CCUACGGGAGGCUGCAGUGGGGAAUAUUGCACAAUGGGGGAAACCCUGAUGCAGCAACGCCGCGUGGGUGAAGGAGCGUUUCGGCGCGUAAAGCCCUGUCAGCGGGGAAGAAGAAAGACGGUACCCGACUAAGAAGCCCCGGCUAACUACGUGCCAGCAGCCGCGGUAAUACGUAGGGGGCAAGCGUUAUCCGGAUUUACUGGGUGUAAAGGGAGCGUAGACGGUUAUGCAAGUCUGAAGUGAAAGCCCAAGGCUCAACCAUGGGACUGCUUUGGAAACUGUAAAACUGGAGUGCAGGAGAGGUAAGCGGAAAUCCUAGUGUAGCGGUGAAAUGCGUAGAUAUUAGGAGGAACACCAGUGGCGAAGGCGGCUUACUGGACUGUAACUGACGUUGAGGCUCGAAGGCGUGGGGAGCAAACAGGAUUAGAUACCCCAGUAGUC
This 441-nucleotide ribosomal RNA is filed under the name uncultured bacterium. Its description in RNAcentral is "partial 16S ribosomal RNA". It matches the Rfam family "Bacterial small subunit ribosomal RNA", at positions 338 to 795 of the family's 1533-position model. The record is from RNAcentral.